GACGAACGCUGGCGGCGUGCUUAACACAUGCAAGUCGAACGGAAAGGCCCUGCUUUUGUGGGGUGCUCGAGUGGCGAACGGGUGAGUAACACGUGAGUAACCUGCCCUUGACUUUGGGAUAACUUCAGGAAACUGGGGCUAAUACCGGAUAGGAGCUCCUGCUGCAUGGUGGGGGUUGGAAAGUUUCGGCGGUUGGGGAUGGACUCGCGGCUUAUCAGCUUGUUGGUGGGGUAGGGGCUUACCAAGGCUUUGACGGGUAGCCGGCCUGGGAGGGUGACCGGCCACCUUGGGACUGCGAUACGGCCCAGACUCCUACGGGAGGCAGCAGUGGGGAAUAUUGCACAAUGGGCGGAAGCCUGAUGCAGCAACGCCGCGUGCGGGAUGACGGCCUUCGGGUUGUAAACCGCUUUCGCCUGUGACGAAGCGUGAGUGACGGUAAUGGGUAAAGAAGCACCGGCUAACUACGUG
Molecule: ribosomal RNA, 468 nt
Filed under: uncultured bacterium
Lineage: Bacteria
Description: partial 16S ribosomal RNA
Rfam family: Bacterial small subunit ribosomal RNA
Source: RNAcentral